UUUUAGGUACAGAAAGUGCCACAGAAAACAAACUUCCAGUAAUUUAUUAUUGGUAAAGGUGAAAAGGUGAGGUAAGAGCUCACCGCUUUUUUGGUGACAAAAAUGGCAAGGUAAACCUUGUGAGCUGAAAGACCAAGUAAAUCGAGAAUUGAGGGCUGCUCGCCUAAUCUCGAAGGGUAGGUCGUUAGAUCCUAAUUGUGAAAUUAGGGCAAGAUAAAUGAUAGGCAGUUGAUUUGUUAUUCAGAUCAAUGUACAGGAUCCGGCUUAUGAUUUGCUCUUUUUU
RNAcentral lists this RNase P RNA (283 nucleotides) under Cryomorphaceae bacterium. Its description in RNAcentral is "partial RNase P RNA component class A". It matches the Rfam family "Bacterial RNase P class A", at positions 94 to 367 of the family's 367-position model. Rfam says of the family: Ribonuclease P (RNase P) is a ubiquitous endoribonuclease, found in archaea, bacteria and eukarya as well as chloroplasts and mitochondria. Its best characterised activity is the generation of mature 5'-ends of tRNAs by cleaving the 5'-leader elements of precursor-tRNAs. The record is from RNAcentral. Lineage: Bacteria; Pseudomonadati; Bacteroidota; Flavobacteriia; Flavobacteriales; Cryomorphaceae.